This 523-nucleotide unclassified non-coding RNA is filed under the name Hevea brasiliensis (rubber tree). Lineage: Eukaryota; Viridiplantae; Streptophyta; Magnoliopsida; Malpighiales; Euphorbiaceae. The record is from RNAcentral.
AUGAUGAUGAUGAUGAUGGAGGUAAUGGUAAAAAUUACUAUCAUGAAGAUGAUGACAGUGAUGAUUCUAUGGCUUCUGAUGCUUCUUCUGGUCCAAGUCAUCAAGGCACAGAUUUCAAGCUCCAGAAAGAUGCUGAUGGCAAGUAUCAGUCCCAGAGGAAACCUAACAACAAACAAGUGGAGAAGCAGCAGCAAAAAGCUGAAAGAAGGAGAAAGGAGGAGAACAAAGAUCAAGAAGUGGGAUUUAUGGCAAGAAGAGCUUAUAAUAAAAGUGCUCCUGCUCAAAGCAGUUCCAAGGUAAGAAAAAGCAUAAGCUGGAUGGGAAAAGAAAAAUAGCUAGCUGGCUAGCUAGUAUAUAUUGUUCUUCUUAUUUCUACUACUAGUAGCUGUUUUGCAGGAUCUGCAUGUAGCUAGCUAGCUUUGGCUGAAAAUGUAGAAGAAUUAAAAUAGCUAUCUAGCUUAUAACUAGGUUAUGUGCUUCCCUAUAUUCUAAAAUGUUGCAGGAGUUGAAUCAAGCAAUUAUA